This 90-nucleotide transfer RNA is filed under the name Deinococcus aquiradiocola. RNAcentral describes it as "tRNA-Ser". It matches the Rfam family "tRNA". From Rfam's summary of the family: Transfer RNA (tRNA) molecules are approximately 80 nucleotides in length. The record is from RNAcentral. RNAcentral also lists the same sequence under 3 other names. Lineage: Bacteria; Thermotogati; Deinococcota; Deinococci; Deinococcales; Deinococcaceae.
GGAGAGGUGCCCGAGUGGUUGAAGGGGUACGCCUGGAAAGCGUAUGUGCUGGUAACGGUACCGUGAGUUCGAAUCUCAUCCUCUCCGCCA